RNAcentral lists this ribosomal RNA (496 nucleotides) under uncultured bacterium. RNAcentral's name for it is "partial 16S ribosomal RNA". It matches the Rfam family "Bacterial small subunit ribosomal RNA", at positions 28 to 507 of the family's 1533-position model. The record is from RNAcentral.
GAUGAACGCUGGCGGCGUGCCUAAUACAUGCAAGUCGAGCGAACGGACGAGAAGCUUGCUUCUCUGAUGUUAGCGGCGGACGGGUGAGUAACACGUGGAUAACCUACCUAUAAGACUGGGAUAACUUCGGGAAACCGGAGCUAAUACCGGAUGAUAUUUUGAACCGCAUGGUUCAAAAGUGAAAGACGGUCUUGCUGUCACUUAUAGAUGGAUCCGCGCUGCAUUAGCUAGUUGGUAAGGUAACGGCUUACCAAGGCAACGAUGCAUAGCCGACCUGAGAGGGUGAUCGGCCACACUGGAACUGAGACACGGUCCAGACUCCUACGGGAGGCAGCAGUAGGGAAUCUUCCGCAAUGGGCGAAAGCCUGACGGAGCAACGCCGCGUGAGUGAUGAAGGUCUUCGGAUCGUAAAACUCUGUUAUUAGGGAAGAACAUAUGUGUAAGUAACUGUGCACAUCUGACGGUACCUAAUCAGAAAGCCACGGCUAACUACGUG